GGUCUACUCUAAUGCCAGGCAUUGUAACGCCAAAAUGUCUGGCCUCGCUUGUAGACCAGAAUAUUCCACACUGCGAAUAAACCCAGGAGAUUGGCCAUGCCCAUGGCUUCUCUCCUUAUUCAAGUGUUACA
RNAcentral lists this small nucleolar RNA (131 nucleotides) under Drosophila pseudoobscura pseudoobscura. RNAcentral's name for it is "snoRNA:GA29889". The record is from RNAcentral. Lineage: Eukaryota; Metazoa; Arthropoda; Insecta; Diptera; Drosophilidae.